UUGCAGGUCCCAUCUGCAGCUUCCUGGUCUC
This 31-nucleotide non-coding RNA is filed under the name Homo sapiens (human). Lineage: Eukaryota; Metazoa; Chordata; Mammalia; Primates; Hominidae. The record is from RNAcentral.